Molecule: ribosomal RNA, 279 nt
Filed under: uncultured bacterium
Lineage: Bacteria
Description: partial 16S ribosomal RNA
Rfam family: Bacterial small subunit ribosomal RNA
Source: RNAcentral
UGCCAGCCGCCGCGGUAACACGGGGGGCGCAAGCGUUAUUCGGAAUUAUUGGGCGUAAAGCGCGUGUAGGCGGUUCGUUAAGUCUGAUGUGAAAGCCCGGGGCUCAACCCCGGAAGUGCAUUGGAAACUGGCGAACUUGAGUACGGGAGAGGAAAGUGGAAUUCCGAGUGUAGGGGUGAAAUCCGUAGAUAUUCGGAGGAACACCAGUGGCGAAGGCGGCUUUCUGGACCGAUACUGACGUUAAGAUACGAAAGCAUGGGUAGCAAAAGGGAUUAGAUA